Prinia subflava (tawny-flanked prinia) is the source of this 3304-nucleotide long non-coding RNA. RefSeq lists it as uncharacterized. The transcript has 4 exons. The record is from RefSeq and is a predicted model, not a curated record. Lineage: Eukaryota; Metazoa; Chordata; Aves; Passeriformes; Cisticolidae.
UUCAUGUCAGAUACAUGAGGGAAGGAUCAACAAAAAGAGUGAAAUUUUGUGCCAUGCUAAGCAGUGCUGUGUAUAUCCCUUCCCUUUUUCAUGUCUGUUUGCCCAUCAUUAGGCUGUUCUUCUCUCAGGCACUGAAGAUGCCAUUGUCUCCUGUAGUGGUAAUAAGGAGAAAAGAACGAAAAAUUGCUGUUACAGGUAAAAAAAAAAGAGUCAAGACAUCCCAACUGGGGUGCUUACAUUCCUGCACUCUGAGAAAAGGAGAAUAUGCUACCAAAUACUGAGGUAAUUUCCUAAUCAGUAUGUAAAAAUCAAAUGCUCAAAAAACCUUACAAUUCUCUGUUACCUGGGGAGUCCCAUGAAAACACUUGGUUUAGUCACAGGCAGGACAUUUCAGCUCUGGGCACCUCAUCUCAGUGUGUAAAUGAAAGGUUAUGGUAAAAAUAAAUGAAAAUAUAAAGAGGCUAGGAAGGAUGAAGGAAUGGGUUGUGCUUGAGAAGAGAUUAAAGCUCCUAGCGUGGUUCAUGUUGGAAGGUGAAUUGGAAAGAAGGGAAGGCAAACAGUCUGACUUGUCAUAAACAGGGAACAAUUCGUCAUUGCACAAUAAUCAAGUGAUUACAGGCACUCGUGGCUGUCAGGCCCCAAAUGAGAGGAGCACUGUUCAGCACAGAGUGUAAUUUCAGGCCUUAUCUCAGAUGGUGAAAAAUACUCAUGGUUUCCAGAGGCAGUGAGGGCAAUUGCUGGAAGAAAGGCUGGAAGGAGAUGUCCUUUGUGGUGAUAGCAAAUACCAGUUCUCUGAGGUCUUGGGUAAAGCCCUGGAUUUGUCACCAACACUUCAGAAAGGUCAGGGACGUACAUGUGUGUCUGGAUUGCCCAAAAGUUGUGAGUUUGAACCCAGAAUCCAGCUGCUGUGUUAAUUUCCAGGUAUCAGAUCCAGGCACUGAACACGUCAUUGACACCGUGUGUUGAGUUUCACCUGCUGUUCCUCCAGGACUUAAGCCCUGAGAUGGAUUCUCACUUCUGGCUGUAGUUAAGUCUCCUGGAAAUGCUGUAACUCCAUGCUGAGCUUUUACCAGACUUAUGCAUAAUCUAAUUAAAGCUUCAUUUGCAGUGAGUUUUUGAAGUGGACUUAAAUUCCCUCCAGUACACUUGCUCCCACGUAAUUCAGCCCUGGCUCUGCUAUGACAGCACAUUUCAAACACAUUGUGGCUGUUAUUCAUUAUUAUGCCUUCGAUGCAGUGUUCGUCAGUUUUAACUGAAGAUUUAUUUUGAUAUAAAUUUUUUCAGAAUGAAAGCAACUGAUUGUUUCACAAAAAAAAAAAAAAAAAAAAAAAAAAAAAAAAAAAAAAAAAAAAAUCUCGCUUUCCUACUGCAAUUGGACUCUGCUUUUGUACAUGGAAAGAAAAAAACCACCAACCCUGAAUGUUUAGUUAUUCUGUAACCAGGCAUUUCAGGUCAAAGACACUGAAGGGAUCAAAUAGAUAAGCAAAAUUAAAACACCAAGGUCAGACAAAUUCUUCCCAAGAAUAGUGAAGACAAAUCCAAGGAGGAAACAGAACACAAAUCAGAUCUUAUCUCCACUUUGCUUCCUGGCCAAAGACACAGAAAGUGUCUCCAAGAAGUUAAAAGAUAUCUCCCUUUAACCAGUGCCAAUGUUGUUAGGGGAGACACAGAAUCAAAUACACCCUCACUGAAGAGGAGCGCUCCUGAGCACAUCUGUGGUUCUCUGGAAAAGGAGAGGAUUACUGAGCACAAGAGCCAACUCUAACCAGUGGGGAACUGUUUUUAUUUUCAUGUACAUCAUGCUGAGUCCUAAACAUAUCUCAGCCACCUACCUGCAUCCUGACCCUAGAUAUAUACAUCAAGCCAUGUAGAAAAUUGGGAUGAAAAGGAACCAUCUGGGCUUUUGCAGUUAUCAUCCUUAUGUUACAGCCACCUCUUCACCAUGGCCAGUGUCUCCAUCCUGCUACUCAGAGACUGUUCUGCACAGGCCAGGUGUCUUCUUUGCAUUCUCCCAAGGCCAGAGGAUCCAACACCCUUGCCAUGGGCAGGAACACCUUCCACUAGACCAGAUUGCUCCCAAGCCCUGGCGAACGUGGCCUUGAACACUUUAUUUCAAGCUGAAAAACACCAAGAACAGGACAAACAUAAGGAUACUACACCCACCAUCUGCAGUUCAGCUGGAGCUAACCAGAGCUAGCUGUGUGUCCCAAGCCCAUCAGUGAGAUGCACUCUCGCUUUGCAGUGUGCAGCUCCAUCCAUGAAUCAGGUAGUUCAAGGAAGGGGAAUCCUCCUUUCCCAAUGUGGCUGGCACAAAAAGCAGCACAUGAGUCUGCAGAGCCUCUUAGCAGACUAUUGACUUAACCAGUCAUUACCAGUACCCAUGAAACUGAGAUGGUAAAAUCUCUGUCUGGUGCUUCAAGCUUUGCAUACAAAGUUGUUUGCUCUGGUAAGAUGCUCUGACAGCAUUAGAAUGGCCAUUCAUUAAAAAAAAAAAAUACAAGGAUAAUUUCUUUAUCAGGACAUGCUUCCUGUAUGCAAUGAAGCCUGAGGCAAGCAGAGUGAACAUUAUCAUUUAUUUAACUGCAGGGUAACUUAUUACUGAGUGUCAUUCUACUCAGCGUGCUCGUUUAAUACUGAUUAUGCCAAUAACUUGAGCAAAUAAACGGGAAGUUGCUACAGUUCAUUCUUUGGAAAAAGGUCAUUCACCUCGUGCUGUAAAUGGUCCCACUAAAGAGGUGUGUUUUUUCAGGGGCUGGAGUGUACCUCACCUGUUGAACUGCCCUUCACACAUGACUCAGGAGCAGAAUGAAUCACGGCUCAUAGCAUACCCAGAGCAGGAGCACAGGGAACCUUGUAUUACCACGGUGCUCGGAGAUGUCUUCGAAUGACAGGGCUUAAAGAAGAAAUGUAGCUUCCUCCCUGCUGGGAACUGCAUGUUUCUGGUUCACCUCGGCAAAGGAUCCAACCCCAGGCAGCAGACGCUGUGCCAGACCCCCUCUGCUGUCACCUUGGCGGUCCAGGGAUUUCUGCACCCUCUCCUGGCAGCUCAGACUGACAUUCAUAGGAGGAAACAGAUGCUGAGGCAUCUCCACACUGAAGAAAUACUGUGAAGGCCUGAUCCAUCCCACGUGCAUAUAAAAUAUGAAGUUUUUCUGGAUAAUCCCAUUUUUCCUGCUGCAAGCUGAGGCAGAGCACAAGCACCUCCCAACCACCCUGGCCAGCACACAUGGGGAUGAGCACACAGCAGCAAAUGUUACCCUUCCACUGGGCUUGGAACUGGAACAGCUGGAGGAGCUGCUCUGGU